This 245-nucleotide ribosomal RNA is filed under the name uncultured bacterium. RNAcentral describes it as "partial 16S ribosomal RNA". It matches the Rfam family "Bacterial small subunit ribosomal RNA", at positions 524 to 768 of the family's 1533-position model. The record is from RNAcentral.
UACAUAGGGGCCAAGCGUUAUCCGGAUUUAUUGGGCGUAAAGCGCGUGUAGGUGGUUGAUUAAGUCAGGUGUUAAAUUUGGAAGCUCAACUUCCAAUCGCACUUGAAACUGGUCAGCUUCGAGUUUGGGAGAGGAUAGCGGAACUCACAGUGUAGCGGUGAAAUGCGUAGAUAUUGUGAGGAACACCAGUGGCGAAGGCGGCUAUCUGGAUCAAUACUGACGCUGAGACGCGAGAGCAUGGGGAG